RNAcentral lists this long non-coding RNA (891 nucleotides) under Actinidia chinensis (golden kiwifruit). RNAcentral's name for it is "long non-coding RNA (ACHI_LNC000486)". The record is from RNAcentral. Lineage: Eukaryota; Viridiplantae; Streptophyta; Magnoliopsida; Ericales; Actinidiaceae.
ACUAGUUUUACUAUUUUAAUAUACUCCGACAUGCUCUUUCCUCCAAACAUCUUAAACAGUUUCUAGUAAUUAUUUCAAAUUGACUUGAAUAAUGAGCGUUCUGAGCGAUCAACAUGGUUUUUAAUCUGGGCCAUAGUGUCACCCUUCCCAGGAUUGCAGAUUGAAUGGUGGUGUUGUAUCACAUGUUCUUGCUUAAGAAAAGCGUGAAUCUAGCUUGCUAUGUGAAAUUUUUGGCGUAAUGAAGUUACCUAAAAGUACUCUGCAAUGGCUUACUUCUGUUAUAUCACCAAUUCUCCCCAAAACUUGAGCUGUUAGGAAAUGGGCCGAGCAAUGCAUGUCAAGCUAUUCUGAACUCCCAUCAUGCGCAACCCUGUCUCUUGCAUGGAGCGGUGGACAACUGAACUUAUUUGGUGCACAUACACACAAAAUAGAGUGCAGUAUAACUGACAUAACAUGGAACAAACACAGAUAAUGACGCUUGAACCCUGGGCCUGGAACUAUAGCUUGGAUACUAUGUUAAAUCACCAAUUGUCCCCAAACCUUGAGCUUUUCGAAAAUGUUCCUGACAAUCAAUAUCAAAGCUAUUAAACAAUCUCAAGUACUCUUGGAAAUGGUGCACCGUAUCCAUAUAAUUGCUUGCCACCUACGCUUCACCAUCCAUUCCAAGUUUAAAAGCGGAAUCAUUAAGAACCAAACGCUGCUGUAGGAUCUCCAAAAAGAAUGAAAUAAAAAGGAAUGAACUCAUGUAUUGAGCUAAGCAAUCAUUGGAAAGCUCCUAAAAGCCAUGAUAUUCUAUCAAGGCAUAAUAAACAUACGGGAAACAGCCUUGCCUCGUAAAUUUGUGUAAAAAGAAGCCUUUGUUUCUGCCGUAUUGUAAGUAGAAAAAAGCGG